Molecule: ribosomal RNA, 331 nt
Filed under: uncultured Pseudoflavonifractor sp.
Lineage: Bacteria; Bacillati; Bacillota; Clostridia; Eubacteriales; Oscillospiraceae
Description: bacterial SSU rRNA
Rfam family: Bacterial small subunit ribosomal RNA
Source: RNAcentral
UGGGGAAUAUUGGGGCAAUGGGGGGCGGCAAGCCUGACCCAGCAACGCCGCGUGAAGGAAGAAGGCUUUCGGGUUGUAAACUUCUUUGUCAGGGACGAGAAGAAGACGGUACCUGACGAAUAAGCCACGGCUAACUACGUGCCAGCAGCCGCGGUAAUACGUAGGUGGCAAGCGUUGUCCGGAUUUACUGGGUGUAAAGGGCGUGUAGCCGGGUCGGCAAGUCAGAUGUGAAAUCCACGGGCUUAACUCGUGAACUGCGUAGAGAUCGGGAGGAACACCAGUGGCGAAGGCGGCUUACUGGACUGUAACUGACGCUGAGGCGCGAAAGUGU